This 813-nucleotide long non-coding RNA is filed under the name Phoenix dactylifera (date palm). RNAcentral describes it as "long non-coding RNA (PDAC_LNC012522)". The record is from RNAcentral. Lineage: Eukaryota; Viridiplantae; Streptophyta; Magnoliopsida; Arecales; Arecaceae.
GUGUGCAAUUAUUUAUCUAGUGUCAAAGAUAUGAUCGCUUAUAAUGGAGGAAAAAGUUUAUUGUACAAUUGAGGUUACAUCUUGUUAAAUGUGGUGAUGUAUGACACCGUUAGUGAGGGGGGACUAUGGGUAGAACCGUAGAAGUUUUGAUGUAUGCAGGAUGGCAUACCAGGAGAUGUCUUAAGAGAGUGGAGAAUAGUGAGGAUUUGUAGAACAAAGUUUUGUGAGGUAAGUACUAUAAAGGAAGGUAGAUUAGGAAUCUUAGGAAGAAAAAGUUUCAGAAAAUGGUGAUUGAAGAUAUUUUGUGAAACAAAUGGUGCCAAGAAAAUGCUUCACUGGAAGCAUGUUUCAAAGUUAUAGGAUGGAUUUCAGUCAGUCUACUAGUUUCCGUUGAUUGGAACCUCGUUAAGGUUAGCCAGGUUUGCAGAGGGACGAAAUUGCCUUUGUUUUAAUAGUGAAUGAGGCUGGGACUUAGCUUCUUCUCACUCACUUUGCCCUUUUCUCGAUCAGGAUGGGAUGAUAGGUGAUGGAGAUGCAUAGGUUAAGAGGUUGGUUACGUUUGAUUUAGGGAAAAAAAGUUGAGAAUAUAUGAAAUUGACAAUUUUAAGAGAACAAAAGUAAAAUAUUCCAUCCUCAUCUAGCUAACCUGAGGGAUGUAUAAGCAAUAAGUUACAAAAUUUCAUGGAUGAAAAUGCAAAUAUAGAAAAGACAGGGAUCAAUAAGCAAAUAUAAAAUAUUUUAGGGACUAAUAUAUAAAAGUUUUUUGGGUUUUGGGGAAUUGUGACACUUCUGGAUAUUUAAGACAUGACAACA